Molecule: small nuclear RNA, 105 nt
Organism: Cynoglossus semilaevis (tongue sole)
Lineage: Eukaryota; Metazoa; Chordata; Actinopteri; Pleuronectiformes; Cynoglossidae
Source: Ensembl
GUGUUGUGUUGUCAGUACGUAAACUAAAAUUGGAAUGAUACAAGGAGGAUUAGCCUGACCUUGCACAAGGAUGACACUCUUCACAAGGAACGCUUGUGAAGCCUU